RNAcentral lists this ribosomal RNA (120 nucleotides) under Mustela putorius furo (domestic ferret). Lineage: Eukaryota; Metazoa; Chordata; Mammalia; Carnivora; Mustelidae. The record is from RNAcentral.
GUCUAUAGCCCUACCACCCUGAACCCACCGGAUCUCUUCUGAUCUUGGAAGCUAAGCAGGGUCCGGCCUGGUUAGUACUUGGAUGGGAGGACAAUAAAUAAGAAAUGGUAUUUAUCAUUU